RNAcentral lists this ribosomal RNA (682 nucleotides) under bacterium SCSIO13132. RNAcentral's name for it is "bacterial SSU rRNA". It matches the Rfam family "Bacterial small subunit ribosomal RNA", at positions 56 to 749 of the family's 1533-position model. The record is from RNAcentral.
UGCAAGUCGAACGAUGACGGUGGUGCUUGCACCGCCUGAUUAGUGGCGAACGGGUGAGUAACACGUGAGUAACCUGCCCUCCACUUCGGGAUAACCUCGGGAAAUCGUGGCUAAUACCGGAUAUGAGCACUCAUCGCAUGGUGGGUGUUGGAAAGAUUUAUCGGUGGGGGAUGGACUCGCGGCCUAUCAGUUUGUUGGUGAGGUGAUGGCUCACCAAGACGAUGACGGGUAGCCGGCCUGAGAGGGCGACCGGCCACACUGGGACUGAGACACGGCCCAGACUCCUACGGGAGGCAGCAGUGGGGAAUAUUGCACAAUGGGCGAAAGCCUGAUGCAGCGACGCCGCGUGGGGGAUGACGGCCUUCGGGUUGUAAACCCCUUUCAGUAGGGAAGAAGCGAGAGUGACGGUACCUGCAGAAGAAGCGCCGGCUAACUACGUGCCAGCAGCCGCGGUAAUACGUAGGGCGCAAGCGUUGUCCGGAAUUAUUGGGCGUAAAGAGCUUGUAGGUGGCUUGUCGCGUCUGCCGUGAAAACCCGAGGCUCAACCUCGGGCGUGCGGUGGGUACGGGCAGGCUAGAGUGUGGUAGGGGAGACUGGAACUCCUGGUGUAGCGGUGAAAUGCGCAGAUAUCAGGAAGAACACCGAUGGCGAAGGCAGGUCUCUGGGCCAUUACUGACACUGA